CUUGUGGGGUGUGCGUGUGUGUAUCAAUAGUUAUUGUUGGAAGGACAUGAAAUUCACAUUUGUUGAACAAUCCUUAUACUGGAAUGAGCUGCAAGCGAGUGAUAUGACAAUCUAAAUGAUGGACUGUUCCACUUGAAUCUAUCCUCAGUGCCACACUGCUUUAAUCCUAAUAUCUAACAGUGAUAUUCCUGUAAUUUGUGUUGUCUACUCAUCUUUCUUUUUUAUGUGCUUAUUUCUAUUAAUGUAAUAAUGGAAAUUGGAGACUAUUGGUGUAUUACUUAACAUUGUCCCAAAGAAACCCAGAAAUUUGGGCUAUGUGGCUGAAUUGACUUCAUUUUAUUAUAAGAACUAUGAACCAAUCAGUACCUUUUUAGUUAUAAAAUGAAUGUUGUUCUUUGGAAAAAAAAAAAGAAGAAGAAAAAAGGCAGGUCAGUAAGAACUGUGAACCAAUCAGUACCUUUUUAGUUAUAAAAUUAAUGUUUUACUUUGAAAGAAAAAAGAAAAAAGAAAAAUGAAAAAAGGCAUCCUGACCUGUAGGUGGAGUAAAGACUGCCUCCCCCUUAUUUUGAACACUUGGAUCCUACUGCCUCAAUGCACAUAGCAGCAACCAUCUGGAACCAGUCAUCAUUUUUUAUGUUGGCUUUUCUUGAUUUUUCACAUGUAUUUUUUCUCUCAUCUGCAACCAUAGAUGGUAUGAAUACAGCGCCCCACCCGGGCCACCCCCUUCUUCUUCCUUCCCACUAAGUAGCCUUGGUACUUUAGGAAAUGUAUCAAGCCUUUAACUAACAGGGUGUAUGCCACUUUUGCCUGUGCUGUGUGGAAAAUAAUGUUGCAGAGGACCGUGUGUUCAAUAGAGAGAGAGACCUUCUGGUGUAUGACAUCUCGUACAGACCUAAGUUUGUGAGAACAAUGAACGGGCUUUAGCACUUGAGAUUUGGCCCAAGUGGUAAAGGGUUGAGGAGGGAUGUUCUAGGUUCAAGUCCCAAUGGGGACAAAAAUAUACCUAUCAAAAGAUUAAAAAGAAAAAAAAAAAAAAAAAAAAAACAAUGAGUGGGUUCCAUUUAAUAUCACCUAGUGGAGUUGCAGAUUCCUUAUAUUAAUGAAAUCAAAUAAUCUAAAAUCUUGUGGUUGCAAGGACUUCCACAUAUCUGGGAGUGUUUCUGUUGAAGUCAUGGCCUCCUUUUUAAGUUAGAACAAUAUUUGAUUACUGAAGCUUAUUGAUCCAAUCACUAUGGUUACAGGGGAACUAUGGUAAUUUUGUUAGUGUAGGUCCUUGCCAUUUUCGUAUUGCAUCUUCCAUUAACUAAUGUUGAAUGAGUUAUUCCACUCUGCAUUUUAAUGCUUAUAAAUUCAUAGAAAAAAGGAGAUUUCUGAUGAUAAACUAGUCAUCAUUAUAUUAAACAUGUGGGUUUUCCUAUAAAACAUUGGUGGAGAGAGUGAUUGAACAAAAGUUUAUCCAAAGAAUAAGAUUUUUGGAUUUACUCCAUGUUAAAAUCGUGGGUUUCUUAAGAAGGAAAAGAACAAUAGAGAAGACAUGCUGCCUAUGGUUUAUGUUGACUAGAGAAGACAAAGAAAGUAUGUGUUGAAGUGCUGGAAAAAAGGCAUGUUUGCCUAUGAUAUGACUGAAAAGGACCCCAUAUGUGCAGAAUUUAUGUAGCUGACUGGAACAGUUGAGAUCAGGCUUUAUGGGGUUUAUGUUUUAUUUGACAUCUUUUCAGCUCUGUUUUUUAUUCUGGAGGAUUUGGUAAAUUUUGUCUAUCAAUUUGGUCCAAGUCCAUAAAGCAUAAGAGGGGAAAAAAAAUGAAAUGCCUGGAUGUUGCUCAACUGUAAGAGUAAUUUGCAAAAUGUGAGAGAAGUCAUUCUUCUAGAGUCAACUUUGUUCUUCUUAAUGAAAUGUGAAUUAAAAUAAAAAAAAAUAAUUAUAAUUUCUUUCUUUGCAUCUGUUUGAUUGUCAAUUUAAAUGAGGUACAUAUGUUUUUCCUUAAAUCUUUUUCUAGAGUGGCAUUAUUGGUUUUACUUGUUUCUUUGCUUUGUUCUUGAAGGGUGUUUGGUAUAUUCCUGAAUUGCAAAUGACGGAUUGUUCUUUAUUUUUCAAUUUUAUUUGCUUUUAGGGAUUUUGGGUGGCAGCAGAGAUAUGCUCGCUUUUGUGGAAGAAUAGUGGUUCUUUCCAUUCUUUCUUUGCUACUUUAUCCCUUUCUUUGGGCUUGGACUGUAAUUGGUACUCUGUGGUUCACUAGGGCAAGAGACUGUGUAAGAUCUUCCUCGCAUGUUUUUCUUGAGUGGCCAUUGUUAUUAAUAUUAUUUGCAUUU
RNAcentral lists this long non-coding RNA (2310 nucleotides) under Vitis vinifera (wine grape). RNAcentral's name for it is "long non-coding RNA (VVIN_LNC005746)". The record is from RNAcentral. Lineage: Eukaryota; Viridiplantae; Streptophyta; Magnoliopsida; Vitales; Vitaceae.